Molecule: ribosomal RNA, 529 nt
Filed under: uncultured bacterium
Lineage: Bacteria
Description: bacterial SSU rRNA
Rfam family: Bacterial small subunit ribosomal RNA
Source: RNAcentral
AAUAGAUACCCCGGUAGUCCAUGCCGUAAACGUUGGGCACUAGGUGUGGGGGACAUUCCACGUUCUCCGCGCCGUAGCUAACGCAUUAAGUGCCCCGCCUGGGGAGUACGGUCGCAAGGCUAAAACUCAAAGGAAUUGACGGGGGCCCGCACAAGCGGCGGAGCAUGCGGAUUAAUUCGAUGCAACGCGAAGAACCUUACCAAGGCUUGACAUACACUGGACCGUUCUGGAAACAGUUCUUCUCUUUGGAGCUGGUGUACAGGUGGUGCAUGGUUGUCGUCAGCUCGUGUCGUGAGAUGUUGGGUUAAGUCCCGCAACGAGCGCAACCCUCGUUCUAUGUUGCCAGCACGUGAUGGUGGGAACUCAUAGGAGACUGCCGGGGUCAACUCGGAGGAAGGUGGGGAUGACGUCAAAUCAUCAUGCCCUUUAUGUCUUGGGCUUCACGCAUGCUACAAUGGCUGGUACAGAGAGAGGCGAACCCGUGAGGGUAAGCGAAUCCCUUAAAGCCAGUCUCAGUUCGGAUCGUAGU